UUGACGAUCCGUUAGUUGACCAGCGCGAUGUAAUUAGAUGGUUGAUUAUCAUUUACCAGGCAUCUGUAGACCACGGGCCAUCGAUUGAUUGCAGUCGGCACGCCACGCGCCACAGGAGGCUUAAGUCACAAGAUGUUCUUGCAUGCAAGAUCAGUGCAGGAGGCUCCUGCAACACCCUCACCAGGGGAGCUUGGCAAUAAUGUGGACAGUGGAGAUGAAUCAUCUGAAUCAAAUCUGGACCACCAAGAGGGCCACUUUGGCUACACCACCGAACAGGAGAUCGAGCGCGCUGUGCAGGAGUGCAAGGCUGCCAUCCUGGAGAGCGAGCGCAGCUCCGACGAGCGGCGCCGGCUGGUGCGCCGGCUGGUGGAGCUGCGCCUGCACCGG
This is a long non-coding RNA of Pollicipes pollicipes, 387 nucleotides long. RefSeq lists it as uncharacterized. NCBI's taxonomy places the organism in Eukaryota, Metazoa, Arthropoda, Thecostraca, Pollicipedomorpha, Pollicipedidae. The transcript has 3 exons. The record is from RefSeq and is a predicted model, not a curated record.